UGUUAAAAAUUUUAUCCAUUUGUACGGUAAAAAAUUGGUGUGAUUGACGGAAUAACCAAAUAGUGAUGUAAUACGCUACGUGUAUUUUAUGUUGACGUGUAUGUACGGCUCAAAUUUUUACCAUAGAAAUGGAUAGAAAUUUUUAUUA
Molecule: non-coding RNA, 148 nt
Organism: Gossypium hirsutum (cotton)
Lineage: Eukaryota; Viridiplantae; Streptophyta; Magnoliopsida; Malvales; Malvaceae
Source: Rfam